This 311-nucleotide long non-coding RNA is filed under the name Carica papaya (papaya). Its description in RNAcentral is "long non-coding RNA (CPAP_LNC004908)". The record is from RNAcentral. Lineage: Eukaryota; Viridiplantae; Streptophyta; Magnoliopsida; Brassicales; Caricaceae.
UCACGCACGGACGGCCCAGAUUGCAUCGCGAUGAACGGCCAUAUUCAUUUCUUAUUUAAUCGCGAUCGGACAGCCCAGAUUAAAUCGCGAUGGAUGGCUCAGAUUAAAAGUGGAAUGUUAUAAAUAAUCUCAUCCACACCAAAACCCUAACCUUAGCCUCCAAAGCCCUCGCCGGAGAAGACAGCCCAGCCACCGGAGAACCGACCGCCGUCACCCGCCGCCGCACCAGAGCACCUUCUCGCCGCCAAACGAGGUAAAAAUUCUCCCAUUGGCUCGAAAUUCGAUUCUAAACCCACCUGUGGCCAAAUCGG